UUGAAAGAAGAACCCACCAUGUUCUCAGCC
RNAcentral lists this non-coding RNA (30 nucleotides) under Mus musculus (house mouse). Lineage: Eukaryota; Metazoa; Chordata; Mammalia; Rodentia; Muridae. The record is from RNAcentral.